This 23-nucleotide microRNA is filed under the name Mus musculus (house mouse). Its description in RNAcentral is "mmu-miR-7210-5p". The record is from miRBase by way of RNAcentral. Lineage: Eukaryota; Metazoa; Chordata; Mammalia; Rodentia; Muridae.
UAACAUUGUAGACAGGCACAAAG